This 119-nucleotide ribosomal RNA is filed under the name Pteropus alecto (black flying fox). The record is from RNAcentral. Lineage: Eukaryota; Metazoa; Chordata; Mammalia; Chiroptera; Pteropodidae.
CUCUACAGCCGUGCCUCCGUGGACGGCUCCGAUCCCGUGUGAUCGUGGACACUGAGCGGGGUUGGGCCUGGUUAGUUCUUGGAUCGGAGCCCUCCUGGGAAGACCAGGUGAAGUAGGUG